Molecule: non-coding RNA, 72 nt
Organism: Ciona savignyi (Pacific transparent sea squirt)
Lineage: Eukaryota; Metazoa; Chordata; Ascidiacea; Phlebobranchia; Cionidae
Source: Rfam
UCCUACAUGGUUUAGUGGUUAGGAUUCCUGGCCUUCACCCAGGCGGCCCGGGUUCGAUUCCGGGUGUAGGCA